RNAcentral lists this ribosomal RNA (467 nucleotides) under uncultured bacterium. RNAcentral's name for it is "partial 16S ribosomal RNA". It matches the Rfam family "Bacterial small subunit ribosomal RNA", at positions 28 to 507 of the family's 1533-position model. The record is from RNAcentral.
GACGAACGCUGGCGGCGUGCUUAACACAUGCAAGUCGAACGAUGAAGCCCAGCUUGCUGGGUGGAUUAGUGGCGAACGGGUGAGUAACACGUGAGCAACGUGCCCGCAACUCUGGAAUAACUACCGGAAACGGUGGCUAAUACUGGAUAUGUGCCAUGGAGGCAUCUCCUCUGGUUGGAAAGAUUUUUCGGUUUCGGAUCGGCUCGCGGCCUAUCAGCUUGUUGGUGGUGGAAUGGCCUACCAAGGCGACGACGGGUAGCCGGCCUGAGAGGGUGACCGGCCACACUGGGACUGAGACACGGCCCAGACGCCUAUGGGAGGCAGCAGUGGGGAAUAUUGCGCAAUGGGCGCAAGCCUGAUGCAGCAACGCCGCGUGAGGGAUGACGGCCUUCGGGUUGUAAACCUCUUUUAGUAGGGAAGAAGCGAAAGUGACGGUACCUGCAGAAAAAGCACCGGCUAACUACGUG